This 435-nucleotide ribosomal RNA is filed under the name uncultured bacterium. Its description in RNAcentral is "partial 16S ribosomal RNA". It matches the Rfam family "Bacterial small subunit ribosomal RNA", at positions 29 to 507 of the family's 1533-position model. The record is from RNAcentral.
AGCGAACGCUGGCGGCAGGCUUAUCACAUGCAAGUCGAGCGGGCACUUUCGGGUGUCAGCGGCGGACGGGUGCGUAACGCGUGGGAACGUGCCCUCUGGUUCGGAAUAACUCAGGGAAACUUGAGCUAAUACCGGAUACGCCCUUUUGGGGAAAGGCUUGCUGCCGGAGGAUCGGCCCGCGUCUGAUUAGCUAGUUGGUGAGGGAACGGCUCACCAAGGCGACGAUCAGUAGCUGGUCUGAGAGGAUGAUCAGCCACACUGGGACUGAGACACGGCCCAGACUCCUACGGGAGGCAGCAGUGGGGAAUAUUGGACAAUGGGCGCAAGCCUGAUCCAGCCAUGCCGCGUGAGUGAUGAAGGCCGUAGGGUUGUAAAGCUCUUUUAUCCGGGACGAUAAUGACGGUACCGGAGGAAUAAGCCCCGGCUAACUUCGUG